UGCAGUUGCUGUCUCAAGCUU
RNAcentral lists this microRNA (21 nucleotides) under Hordeum vulgare. RNAcentral's name for it is "hvu-miR444b". Its record names the gene hvu-miR444b. The record is from miRBase by way of RNAcentral. Lineage: Eukaryota; Viridiplantae; Streptophyta; Magnoliopsida; Poales; Poaceae.